CGCCGGCGAGUGGCGAACGGGUGAGUAAUGCAUCGGAACGUACCCAGUAGUGGGGGAUAACUUACCGAAAGGUAAGCUAAUACCGCAUACGCACUGAGGUGGAAAGCAGGGGACCGCAAGGCCUUGCGCUAUUGGAGCGGCCGAUGUCGGAUUAGCUAGUUGGUGGGGUAAAGGCCUACCAAGGCGACGAUCCGUAGCGGGUCUGAGAGGAUGAUCCGCCACACUGGAACUGAGACACGGUCCAGACUCCUACGGGAGGCAGCAGUGGGGAAUUUUGGACAAUGGGCGCAAGCCUGAUCCAGCCAUGCCGCGUGAGUGAAGAAGGCCUUCGGGUUGUAAAGCUCUUUCGGCCGGGAAGAAAUCGUGGUGGCUAAUACCUGCCAUGGAUGACGGUACCGGACUAAGAAGCACCGGCUAACUACGUGCCAGCAGCCGCGGUAAUACGUAGGGUGCGAGCGUUAAUCGGAAUUACUGGGCGUAAAGCGUGCGCAGGCGGUUGUGUAAGACAGGCGUGAAAUCCCCGGGCUCAACCUGGGAACUGCGCUUGUGACUGCAAGGCUAGAGUACGGCAGAGGGGGGUGGAAUUCCACGUGUAGCAGUGAAAUGCGUAGAGAUGUGGAGGAACACCGAUGGCGAAGGCAGCCCCCUGGGCCGAUACUGACGCUCAUGCACGAAAGCGUGGGGAGCAAACAGGAUUAGAUACCCUGGUAGUCCACGCCCUAAACGGUGUCGACUAGUUGUUGGAGGGGUAAAACCCUUUAGUAACGUAGCUAACGCGUGAAGUCGACCGCCUGGGGAGU
This 800-nucleotide ribosomal RNA is filed under the name uncultured bacterium. RNAcentral describes it as "bacterial SSU rRNA". It matches the Rfam family "Bacterial small subunit ribosomal RNA", at positions 86 to 881 of the family's 1533-position model. The record is from RNAcentral.